AUGAAUGUGCAUGGAAGGGCUAGAUCAUUUCAAAUGCAUGACCUUGUGCGUGACGCAUGUCUGAUUGUUGCAAAAAGAGAGAAGCUUGCAGUUGUAUAUGGCAAUUCUGGCAUCACCCAAGUAACCUCUGAAGCCCGCCGCUUAUGCAUCCAGAAAGAUGCUCAGUUUGUAAAGACUGUUCCGGGUCCUGUGACUCCUGUCUCUAAGGUUAAGCAUAUACCAGCAUCGUUCGGGAAACUUCGGAACCUACAGGUUCUGGACCGUAGGUUCAGCUACGUGGAACAGCUGCCAUGUGAAAUAACACUCCUUACUAAAUUGAGGCAUCUGUAUGUAUACAUGCUCCACGAUGUUCAAGAAAGGAUAUUCGACUGUUUUUCUGCUGCAAAUAUUUCGUGCAAUAUUUGUCGUCUAGAGGAUCUGCAGAGCCUACAGUCUGUUUCAGCCAAUAAAAUUCUGCUUACCCAGCUUGGGAACCUGACACUGAUGAGAAGUUUGUGCAUAAUAAAAAUGCAUCAAGACUAUAUUGCAGAUUUAUGGGACUCCUUGGACAAGAUGCCUAGCCUCAGUAGGUUGGUUAUUUUUGCUAGCAGCAAGGAUGAGGUCCUACAUACUUUGGAAUUUGCUGGUCUAAGGGGUCUAAAGCUAGUGCCCCAAGGCAUCAAGCACAUUAAGACACUACAGAAGAUGCUUCUAACAAAUAUGCCAACAAAGUUCAUGGAUAGGAUACAAGGAGAUGACAGUGACAUAGUUGAGCAUAUACCGAACAUCCAGAGUUUUGACUCCUUCGAUCCGAAUGAACAAGUCGGUUCUUCUGCCACACCUUGCAAAGAAGUAUGGCUUUUGUGGCACAGACUGCUGGGAGCUUUAGAGUGGUUGGAGAUGGGCGGGGAACUAGAUUCUGAGAGAAUAGUCGGCAUGGUGGUCAAGCUCUAUCUUCCAGAUUCAGUGCCCUCAGUCUUGUUGUCCCUAUGGAGGCGCCGUGAUGACGGCUGCUUUUGUUCCAUACGGAUUGAUAAUCCUGUUGCUGUUUCUAAUUUGAUCAGGCCAUCUGAUGACCGCGUGGUCAAUUUUGCAGAUAAAGGAGCCAAAUCAAAAAUGCUCUCAACUGGGGAGCCAAAUUGCUGCAAAGGCAUGGCGCACCACUGCAAGAAGACUGGUGAUCCUGUGAAGAUGGUGAUUGGUACCCGAGCUUUUCAGGUACAUAGUGCUGUUGCGCUGAUCCUUAUGAAGAUGGUGAUCUGA
RNAcentral lists this ribosomal RNA (1242 nucleotides) under Triticum aestivum (bread wheat). RNAcentral describes it as "partial small subunit ribosomal RNA". Lineage: Eukaryota; Viridiplantae; Streptophyta; Magnoliopsida; Poales; Poaceae. The record is from RNAcentral.